This 87-nucleotide transfer RNA is filed under the name Clostridiaceae bacterium. RNAcentral's name for it is "tRNA-Leu". It matches the Rfam family "tRNA". Rfam says of the family: Transfer RNA (tRNA) molecules are approximately 80 nucleotides in length. Their secondary structure includes four short double-helical elements and three loops (D, anti-codon, and T loops). Lineage: Bacteria; Bacillati; Bacillota; Clostridia; Eubacteriales; Clostridiaceae. The record is from RNAcentral. RNAcentral also lists the same sequence under 9 other names.
GCAGGAAUGGCGGAAUUGGCAGACGCGCACGGUUCAGGUCCGUGUGAGGUCACACUCAUGCAGGUUCAAGUCCUGUUUCCUGCACCA